RNAcentral lists this ribosomal RNA (584 nucleotides) under Escherichia coli. RNAcentral describes it as "partial 23S ribosomal RNA". It matches the Rfam family "Bacterial large subunit ribosomal RNA", at positions 2190 to 2773 of the family's 2925-position model. The record is from RNAcentral. Lineage: Bacteria; Pseudomonadati; Pseudomonadota; Gammaproteobacteria; Enterobacterales; Enterobacteriaceae.
CCUUGAAAUACCACCCUUUAAUGUUUGAUGUUCUAACGUUGACCCGUGAUCCGGGUUGCGGACAGUGUCUGGUGGGUAGUUUGACUGGGGCGGUCUCCUCCUAAAGAGUAACGGAGGAGCACGAAGGUUGGCUAAUCCUGGUCGGACAUCAGGAGGUUAGUGCAAUGGCAUAAGCCAGCUUGACUGCGAGCGUGACGGCGCGAGCAGGUGCGAAAGCAGGUCAUAGUGAUCCGGUGGUUCUGAAUGGAAGGGCCAUCGCUCAACGGAUAAAAGGUACUCCGGGGAUAACAGGCUGAUACCGCCCAAGAGUUCAUAUCGACGGCGGUGUUUGGCACCUCGAUGUCGGCUCAUCACAUCCUGGGGCUGAAGUAGGUCCCAAGGGUAUGGCUGUUCGCCAUUUAAAGUGGUACGCGAGCUGGGUUUAGAACGUCGUGAGACAGUUCGGUCCCUAUCUGCCGUGGGCGCUGGAGAACUGAGGGGGGCUGCUCCUAGUACGAGAGGACCGGAGUGGACGCAUCACUGGUGUUCGGGUUGUCAUGCCAAUGGCACUGCCCGGUAGCUAAAUGCGGAAGAGAUAAGUGCUG